AUUGAACGCUGGCGGCAGGCCUAACACAUGCAAGUCGAACGAGUGGCGGACGGGUGAGGAAUACAUCGGAAUCUACUCUGUCGUGGGGGAUAACGAAGGGAAACUGACGCUAAUACCGCAUAACAUCGGAUGUGCCGAUGUUGGAUUAGCUAGUGGGGGGGGUAAAGGCUCACCAAGGCGACGAUCCGUAGCUGGUCUGAGAGGAUGAUCAGCCACACUGGAACUGAGACACGGUCCAGACUCCUACGGGAGGCAGCAGUGGGGAAUAUUGGACAAUGGGCGCAAGCCUGAUCCAGCCAUACCGCGUGGAUGAAGAAGGCCUUCGGGUUGUAAAGCCCUUUUGUUGGGAAAGCGGUACCCAAAGAAUAAGCACCGGCUAACUUCGUGCCAGCAGCCGCGGUAAUAC
This 406-nucleotide ribosomal RNA is filed under the name uncultured bacterium. RNAcentral describes it as "partial 16S ribosomal RNA". It matches the Rfam family "Bacterial small subunit ribosomal RNA", at positions 30 to 526 of the family's 1533-position model. The record is from RNAcentral.